RNAcentral lists this ribosomal RNA (382 nucleotides) under uncultured eukaryote. RNAcentral describes it as "partial 18S ribosomal RNA". It matches the Rfam family "Eukaryotic small subunit ribosomal RNA", at positions 592 to 976 of the family's 1831-position model. The record is from RNAcentral.
UGUAAGCGUAUACCAAAGUUGUUGCAGUUAAAACGCUCGUAGUCGGAAUUUGGCAGUUCCGGAAGUGUGCACGUCGUGUGCGCACUUUGCGGGGACUGCUUUUGUGGUCUUGCGUAGGAUGAGGCACUUUCAUUAGUGAACGUCCUCACGCAGCCACUCUUUACUGUGAGAAAAUCAGAGUGCUCAAAGCAGGCAUUUGCCGUGAAUGUAUUAGCAUGGAAUAAUAGAAUAGGACUCGGUUCUAUUUUGUUGGUUUGUUGGGACUGAGUAAUGAUUAAGGGGGACAGUUGGGGGCAUUUGUAUUCCGGCGCUAGAGGUGAAAUUCUUAGAUUGCCGGAAGACAAACUGCUGCGAAAGCGUCUGCCAAGGAUGUUUUCAUUGA